RNAcentral lists this ribosomal RNA (253 nucleotides) under uncultured bacterium. RNAcentral describes it as "partial 16S ribosomal RNA". It matches the Rfam family "Archaeal small subunit ribosomal RNA", at positions 474 to 727 of the family's 1478-position model. The record is from RNAcentral.
UACCAGCACCCCGAGUGGUCGGGACGAUUAUUGGGCCUAAAGCAUCCGUAGCCGGUUCUGCAAGUCCUCCGUUAAAUCCACCUGCUUAACGGAUGGGCUGCGGGGGAUACCGCAGAGCUAGGAGGCGGGAGAGGCAAACGGUACUCAGUGGGUAGGGGUAAAAUCCAUUGAUCUACUGAAGACCACCAGUGGCGAAGGCGGUUUGCCAGAACGCGCUCGACGGUGAGGGAUGAAAGCUGGGGGAGCAAACCGG